RNAcentral lists this ribosomal RNA (254 nucleotides) under uncultured bacterium. RNAcentral's name for it is "partial 16S ribosomal RNA". It matches the Rfam family "Bacterial small subunit ribosomal RNA", at positions 524 to 776 of the family's 1533-position model. The record is from RNAcentral.
UACGGAGGGGGCAAGCGUUGUUCGGAAUUACUGGGCGUAAAGGGCGCGCAGGCGGCUGCUCAAGUCAGGCGUGAAAGGCCUGGGCUCAACCCGGGAAUUGCGCUUGAGACUGGGCUGGCUUGAGUGCGGGAGAGGAUGGUGGAAUUCCCAGUGUAGAGGUGAAAUUCGUAGAUAUUGGGAAGAACACCAGUAGCGAAGGCGGCACUCUGGGCCGUGACUGACGCUGAGGAGCGAAAGCGUGGGUAGCAAACAGG